RNAcentral lists this transfer RNA (82 nucleotides) under Eubacteriales bacterium. RNAcentral describes it as "tRNA-Tyr". It matches the Rfam family "tRNA". From Rfam's summary of the family: Transfer RNA (tRNA) molecules are approximately 80 nucleotides in length. Their secondary structure includes four short double-helical elements and three loops (D, anti-codon, and T loops). The record is from RNAcentral. Lineage: Bacteria; Bacillati; Bacillota; Clostridia; Eubacteriales.
GGAUGGGUUCCCGAGCGGCCAAAGGGGGCAGACUGUAAAUCUGUUGUCAUCGACUUCGGUGGUUCGAAUCCACCCCCAUCCA